This is a long non-coding RNA of Lethenteron reissneri (Far Eastern brook lamprey), 286 nucleotides long. RefSeq lists it as uncharacterized. The record is from RefSeq and is a predicted model, not a curated record. NCBI's taxonomy places the organism in Eukaryota, Metazoa, Chordata, Hyperoartia, Petromyzontiformes, Petromyzontidae.
CUUCGGGGAGGCCUCGCGCAUCGCCGCCAACACGUGGGGCAGCCUCGCCCACCAGCACAAGCAGGUUUACAAGAAGAAGGCUGACGAUGCCAAGAAGGAAUAUCUGAAGGCGUCGGUGGCCUACAAGGCCAAGUUAGCCGCCAAGGACCGUGCUGCUACUGCUGCCACGGUGACGCCACCGCCACCACCACCGGCCGCACGCUUGCCGCACUCAGGAACGCCGCGGCUUGUCCCGUUCUACGGAACGCCGGGCGGGACGGGGGUUCUCCUCCUGUCUACCGCCACC